RNAcentral lists this non-coding RNA (30 nucleotides) under Homo sapiens (human). Lineage: Eukaryota; Metazoa; Chordata; Mammalia; Primates; Hominidae. The record is from RNAcentral.
UGUGCGAUGAGGGCUUGGCCAUUCCUCGGA